CAGGUGGAGCUGGGGAAGGAGGAGGGUUUCUAAAGCAGGCUGCAAACGGCUGCAGCAAACGCUGGUGAAUGUUGAACAGCAAAUCAUUGGCUGCUGAUGCAACAAAACUAAUCAGCUGAGCCAUGUGAAUAAUAAGAUUAUAUCAGAUUGAGUUAGUACCAAUCAGCCUGUGCCAUCUAGAGUUUCAUUACAUAACUUUGCAUUUAAAUGCUGCUAUCCAUCUAACCUGAUCUCAAAAUGUAUGGCAAAAUGUAACCAUUGUACGAUGUGGCAAUUUCAUAUGAAUUCAUACAAUCUAAAUCAUACAAAAAUUUAUGUUUUGAAGGUCCACCACAGACCUAACCACGAAUGGGACAUAAACAGUUCAUAUAAAAGCGAAUGAGAUCAUAUGAAUUCAUGUGAAUCAGCCACCAAUUCACCAAAAUGUAAAAUAUUGCCAUGGAAUUGUGUUUCGCCUGUCACAGUUUUCAACUCUCAGAUUACAUAAAUCGCACUGCAAGAGAAACACUUCUCAAUGAGUGUCAGACUCUGGUCUGUGAUUUGUGAGUGUUUUGCUCCCCAUGUGCCUUCCUUGCCCUUAUUUGGUCCUUCCUGUUUCUGUCCGUAUGUUCAUUUAGUCCAGGUGUUCCCCAGUUAGUUCGUAUUGUUCCCAGGUGUGUCCCAUUUGUUCUAUUUAAAGUAUGUUCUGCCACACGCUUUCUGUCUGCUGUUAAAUGUAAUUUUGUAAGCCUGAUGUCUCCCGUUUUCCCUGUUAUCCCCAGCGUGCCUUUAUUAAAAACUUCUUUGAUUUACUUUAUUCCUCAUCUCCUCACUCGUCCCUGUGCUCCCAGUGUGUGUCGUGACAGAACAGCAGACCAGGACAACAGACACACGUCUCAGUGAAACGGCGGGAGCGCGGCUGGUAAUUAUCUCCAUAGGAGUGCUGGGAGCCAUCUCCUCAUCAUCUCCUGGUGCCAGGAGCGCGGGAGGAUUACUCCCUCCUCUGCUUCCCAUCAAGCCAAUAUCUACACGGGACGAGAGGAGUUGAGCGGCAUCUACGCGGACCCCGGGGUAUGAGAUGGUGAACUGUGUCUCAGUGGCUCUUUAAAGCUCCUUUCCACGGCUGAAUGAGCACAUGGCGUUUCAUUGUCCCGGCCUCCGAUCGUCAUAAAUCCACUCGUAUCUCUGGAGAGCAGCCAGGAAUGCCGCACUUCUCACUUUAGCCCGGCACAGGCCAUUAUAUCCGAUAUGAAUGUACACGACCUAAAGAUGCCAUGAAUACAAUAGACGGGGGAAAAGACAGCAUGGUGCCCUGAGGCGAUGGAGCCCAAGUCGGGUCUGAGCUCAAUAAACUGAGCCCACCUGCUGUCUAAAGGAUAUGA
This is a long non-coding RNA of Cyprinus carpio (common carp), 1361 nucleotides long. Lineage: Eukaryota; Metazoa; Chordata; Actinopteri; Cypriniformes; Cyprinidae. The record is from Ensembl.